Molecule: ribosomal RNA, 451 nt
Filed under: uncultured Fibrobacter sp.
Lineage: Bacteria; Pseudomonadati; Fibrobacterota; Fibrobacteria; Fibrobacterales; Fibrobacteraceae
Description: bacterial SSU rRNA
Rfam family: Bacterial small subunit ribosomal RNA
Source: RNAcentral
ACGGAAGGCAGCAGUAGGGAAUAUUGCACAAUGGGGGGAACCCUGACGCAGCAACGCCACGUGUGGGAAGAAGCAUUUCGGUGUGUAAACCACUGUCGUGAGGGAAUAAUGCUUGGUCUCGGCCAAGUUGAAUGUACCUUGAAAGGAAGCACCGGCAAACUUCGUGCCAGCAGCCGCGGUAAUACGAGGGGUGCAAGCGUUGUUCGGAAUCACUGGGCGUAAAGGGAGCGUAGGCGGAGACGCAAGCAGUCUGUACAAUCCCGGGGCCCAACCCCGGACCUGCAGACUGGACUGUGUCUCUUGGAUAGUUCAGGGGCAGGCGGAAUUCCUGGUGUAGCGGUGGAAUGCGUAGAGAUCAGGAAGAACACCGAUGGCGAAGGCAGCCUGCUGGGGACUCAUCGACGCUGAGGCUCGAAAGUGCGGGUAGCAAACAGGAUUAGAUACCCUGGUA